This is a small nucleolar RNA of Tachyglossus aculeatus (Australian echidna), 138 nucleotides long. NCBI's taxonomy places the organism in Eukaryota, Metazoa, Chordata, Mammalia, Monotremata, Tachyglossidae. The record is from RefSeq and is a predicted model, not a curated record.
CCCCCCUUAGGGUUGCACCUGAAGAGUUUCCAGUACUCUACCAGUCUUGGCUUCGGAAGGGAGAGUCAAGCAGAGGCCUACCCAUUCCAUGCCUAGCUUGGCCAGUGGCUAGAGAAUGGAAGCCAAUCUGCUACAAGU